This 100-nucleotide ribosomal RNA is filed under the name Aganisia fimbriata. RNAcentral's name for it is "partial 18S ribosomal RNA". It matches the Rfam family "Eukaryotic small subunit ribosomal RNA", at positions 1732 to 1831 of the family's 1831-position model. The record is from RNAcentral. Lineage: Eukaryota; Viridiplantae; Streptophyta; Magnoliopsida; Asparagales; Orchidaceae.
GCCGCCCGCGACUCGGCGAGAAGUCCAUUGAACCUUAUCAUUUAGAGGAAGGAGAAGUCGUAACAAGGUUUCCGUAGGUGAACCUGCGGAAGGAUCAUUG